GAUUUGAUUUAGGUCAUACCUGAGUGGUCUAAUGGUUUUCCCUACUUUCUCCCAAUGUAUGGCACAGAGUCAGCAUUCAGUGAUAUCACUAUCCUCAAGCCGCAGGGCAGAGCUCGGGGAGAGGGACGGGCGGGAGGAGGGCUGACAGAUCAUCCAUUGUCAACUGCCGUGGUCGGCUGCCAGAGUCACAGGUGAGCCGAGGACUGCAAUCUUCCCUGGGGCAUGGAAGGAGCACAGAACAGGAGGUCCAGGUGCAUCUGGUUCCUCCAAGUCAGGUGUGGGACACACUUUCUUGCUGUAAAAUGAAGCAGUGGUCUCAGAGUUCUAAUGUUUUGGCAUUCCCCCAGCCAGGUGCAGGGCGUGCCCGUGCCCCGAUUCCUACAUCCUGCCCACCACGGUCUCCACAGUCAAAUGAGGUAGGCUCUUCCUGGUUUAUUAAGCAACCAGAGCAACACAGACUAGAAUGCCUCAACUGCUACGAUAUAACAGAAGAAAUGGGGUUUUCUUUCUUCUUGCUCAAUGACCAUGAUAAAGAUCAACUCGACCUCUGCUACUUUAUACAUCAACGUCUCACCAAAACAUCUCAGGGAAUUAUUCUAGUAGGUUCUACAUUCAGCGCUGCUGGGAAGUGCUCUGGGGACGGCCGCUUACGUCUCUGUUGUCAGUUUCCCAGUUUCUUCGCAGUUGUAUUUCUAGUGUGUAAUUACAUCUGGUACAUAGCAGGUGCUCAGUAA
RNAcentral lists this long non-coding RNA (734 nucleotides) under Capra hircus (goat). Its description in RNAcentral is "lncRNA (ENSCHIG00010000620.1)". Lineage: Eukaryota; Metazoa; Chordata; Mammalia; Artiodactyla; Bovidae. The record is from RNAcentral.